UCAGAGGGGGGUAGAAUUNCACGUGUAGCAGUGAAAUGCGUAGAGAUGUGGAGGAAUACCGAUGGCGAAGGCAGCCCCCUGGGAUAAUACUGACGUUCAUGCUCGAAAGCGUGGGUAGCAAACAGGAUUAGAUACCCUGGUAGUCCACGCCCUAAACGAUGUCGAUUAGCUGUUGGGCAACUUGAUUGCUUAGUAGCGUAGCUAACGCGUGAAAUCGACCGCCUGGGGAGUACGGUCGCAAGAUUAAAACUCAAAGGAAUUGACGGGGACCCGCACAAGCGGUGGAUGAUGUGGAUUAAUUCGAUGCAACGCGAAGAACCUUACCUGGUCUUGACAUGUACGGAAGAACUCAGAGACGAGUUUGUGCCUUCGGGAGCCGUAACACAGGUGCUGCAUGGCUGUCGUCAGCUCGUGUCGUGAGAUGUUGGGUUAAGUCCCGCAACGAGCGCAACCCUUGUCAUUAGUUGCCAUCAUUUAGUUGGGCACUCUAAUGAGACUGCCGGUGACAAACCGGAGGAAGGUGGGGAUGACGUCAAGUCCUCAUGGCCCUUAUGACCAGGGCUUCACACGUCAUACAAUGGUCGGUACAGAGGGUAGCCAAGCCGCGAGGUGGAGCCAAUCCCAGAAAACCGAUCGUAGUCCGGAUUGCACUCUGCAACUCGAGUGCAUGAAGUCGGAAUCGCUAGUAAUCGCAGGUCAGCAUACUGCGGUGAAUACGUUCCCGGGUCUUGUACACACCGCCCGUCACACCAUGGGAGUGGGGGAUACCAGAAGUAGG
This 778-nucleotide ribosomal RNA is filed under the name uncultured bacterium. RNAcentral's name for it is "bacterial SSU rRNA". It matches the Rfam family "Bacterial small subunit ribosomal RNA", at positions 651 to 1430 of the family's 1533-position model. The record is from RNAcentral.